Molecule: long non-coding RNA, 3400 nt
Organism: Taeniopygia guttata (zebra finch)
Lineage: Eukaryota; Metazoa; Chordata; Aves; Passeriformes; Estrildidae
Source: Ensembl
UUUUUUUUUUUCUUUUUGCAAAGUCCAAUUGCAUAUGGAACUAAAAGAAUUAUAUGGCAGCAGAAACAUGUCAUAUUGCUAGAGAUCAUCUCUGACCAAUUUCUUUUAACUCAUCCCUGGCUCUCUGUACCUGCACAGUCUCAUGCAAAAGUAUAGAAUCAAUCACACUGCCAGAAAAGUAAUAAAGAUGGUUUCCUUUAGCAGAUCAUGCCUUUCAGUGAGAACGUCAGCCAUCUCAUUCACAUCUGUGAACAAACCAGUCUCCUUGCUCCUAUCUCUGAAAUGUCAUUUGCUGUUUUGAUCUAGCUGACAACAUAUUACCUGAUUUUUUUUAUAUUUUCAGAAGAAACUUUGGAUGUUGUACACUAUAGAUAACAUUCUGAAACAAUCAGGCAAAUCAUCAUUUCAAGAAAGCUGAAUGAGACUUUGGCAUAGGUAAAGAAUUCAGAAUUGGGUUUUACAAAGGAAGUUAAUAGCAGUUCUCAUUAGAUGAUCCAACAUUGCUGUGGCUCCCAUUUAAAACAAUAUCAACAGAAAUAGGACAGAUCUGAAACCUCUGCCUUCACCCUCCCCCAAAAAAAUUACUGUAGGCCAUCAAAAAAUUUAUUUCAUCCAUACGAUGCUAGGAAUCCUCCCCACAGAUAGUCCAUCACCAAAGCAGUCCCUGUGGACCUGCAGCAGUUCCUAGUUAGAAAAAUCCCCACAUCUUCCAGUGCCUUUUAUUACUCUAUUAGCUAAACUAGCUGAAUAACCUAAUGGUUAAAAAUACGCUUCUCUAUGUAGUACUCUCCACAAAGGCCUGCAAAAUUCCAAAGAAUGAAUCUUCGUGAUAUUUGCUUCCUUUUCCAGGUUUUGGUGGGAGUCAUUUGGUCUUUCUGAAUAAGGCCUAAAGCAGGUAUGAACUAAAAUUUUACAGAGGAAGGAAUGCAUACUACUAAAGGUAAUUGAGGUUGAUUUAAAGAAGGACAAAAAAAAACAUUAUGGACUAUCUUGAUACACUUAUGAAAGCUUAUGCUUAUGAAAGCAUUUUUUAGUACUAAAAGAGUAAAAAAUCCCUUUACUGCUGAUACUGCAUUAUAAAUAUUAAUUCACAAAUCAGAAUGAUAGCAAAAUGUGCAUAUUUCAGGAUAGGGUGUUACUGGUUCUUAAAACCACCUUUCAGAAGAAAGCAUAAUUAUGUUUCAACAUGUUCCCAUGCUUCAGAACUCAGUAAUGUUCUACAGACUUAUUUAGAUCUUUUAAAAACACAGCUUCUUGACAUUUAUAAUUGCUUUGUUGCAAAAGCAGUUUUAUAACAAUUGUCAAUUCCAUACUGACAGUUUGCUGUUCAUAUGCAGUUCUGGUCCUUUAGCAUACCAAGAUCAAAGCUGACAUGGCUGAUAUGAAAAAAAAAAAGUUUUUCUGAAACCAAGAAAAGAUUUCUGUGAAACAAAGAAAAGUGCAAUGAACAUCAGCAGAGGGCAAGUAAUAUUAUUUUUAUAAUUCACUUUUAUGUUUUGUAUCAAGAUAUGCUGAUUUUCUGAUUCAAAUUGCACAUCUGUUUAUGCAGUGUGAAUUUCUGUAGGUGCUUUUUAGGUGGUGAAAUUAAAACUUCCUGUAGUGUGUCCAUUGUAUUGUAGGUACUGAUUUCAUUAGCUUUUUGUUCAAAAAGCCUCCUGUGCAAAGUUUUGUUUCUGGUGUAAAUUACAUACUCAAGAGAUCUCUCCUUAAUACUUGCAAAACCAGAGAGAUUUCUUGAACAUAUUUAUGAUGGUUAGUUGGGGGCUUUCUGCCCAUGCCACUGCAGGAGCCAGAAGAGAGCUGCUCUGCCAGGUAAGGACUGGGAGAAUAGGAACCCCUGUUCUAGAAUUGGGCCAAAGGGGCAGCAUCUCCUAGGAACAAUACUUCCAGUUAGUGUGGUGGGAUGUGUAAACUCCAAAAGUAACCCAUAUGCUGUAGCCAGUUAAUUAGAUUGAGCUCACACAUGGAAGAAUGCAGGAAAAUACAGAUCUAGGCAAAUAGAGAAGAAAAACAAGGACAAAAUUCAGUUCUUUAAAGCUAAUGGGGUCUCUUUAAACUCUCACACCUUUGGCCUAAUUCUUAGCUACAGGCCCAAGUUUCUUUGUCAGUGGGGCUCCUCACACCAUAAACUCUCCUCAAGAUGUGCUCCUGGCCAUGAGCUUGUUUCACAUGCUUUUGUCCUGUGCAGGUUUGUCCUAUUUGCUACCCACUCAUGUCUACCUGCAUUCAGCAAAGUGUAACUGAAGAUGACACCAGUGUAAUGGGUCUUGUGAAAGCUCUAGCUUUUUCAUUAAUCUGGUCUGGUACAGUCUCCAAAAAGGCCUUAUCUGUCACAACAGGAGACCUUGCUUGUUCCAGAAGUACCUAAUUCUCUGAGCAAGAGGAAAAAAAAAUUAAAAUCUGAAAGACAGUACAAAGAGCAAGCUCUGUUCUCCAUUUCUUCUCCAUUCUUUCUAGUCCUUCUCCUUGCCAUCUGCUGGAGGCCAUUAUGUGCCUUACAUUUACCUGUAGAGAUGUAAGAUGUAAGGUCAAGAUGCACGUUUCAAAUGCAAUGCUGUGUUUUAGCUGCUGCUUCUCAACUGCUUGUCAACUGGAGCUCCUGUCCCCCUCUAGCCAUUCACACUGUGUUGUUAUGCCCCCUAUUAAAAAUAUAAUUUUGAUGGUUAUAUUAAAAAUACUCAGAUUUUCAAUAAAGUCUAACACAUAUUAAAAAAAGCAUCUCAUUGCACAUUUAUUCCUGUCAACAACAGCACUAUCAGAAACCUGUCUUCUUGUUGAAGCAAAAAAAACCACUGUUAAACUUGUUAAACAAAAAAAAAAAUAUUUUUUUUUAGUGUUUUCUGUUCAGUGCUGCAGUAAAGGACAGACAAAUAUAAGAUGAUACUAUAAACUGAACACCACUACAUACCUGUAAUUAGAAAUCCAUUAUUACGUAAGUUACCGGAGAAUUUUAAAUGAAGCUAUGUAAACACUUAAGACUACUAUAAGAAAAAGUCACAAAUAUUGGAAGUAGCAUCUGUAGCAGAUUCUGCAACAGAAGUUUCACUGUUUGUACAUAAAAAUUGAAGUUAUUAUUUGUGGCCUUUUGUUGUUGAGAAAAUACCACUAUUUUGUAUUUUUGAAUGGUUGAUCUUAAAAACUAAGAGGUAGCAACACAGAAGUUCAGCAACACAGAAGUUCACUUCAGCAACACAAAAGUUCACUUCAGCAACACAGUAAAAAUUUGUUUUAAAUAUCCACCUUUCACUGAAGUACAGCCUUUCUAGGUAUGGGUUUUUUUUGUUUCACAGUACAUCUAUAAACUGUAUGAGUACAUCAUCACACAAGUUUCUUCUAUCCAAAUGACAUCCCCAAUGAUAGUUUACCCUUUUACAAAAUAAAUUGCUGUUAUUAAAUCUGC